UGGUGAUAGAUUAGUUGUGAUGAUGGUGGUCGCGGUGGCAUAUGUGGUGGUGGUAGUGGUGGACAAGGUAGUAGUAAGAUGCCAUUAUGUUUAAAAAUGAAAGUAGGAUGCUAUUAUAAGUUAAAGUUGAAAGUAGAAUGCAAUUAUGGGUUAAAAUAAACGUAGGAUGCUAUUAUAGGUUAAAGUUGAAAGAAAGAUUCCAUUAUGGGCUAAAAAUGAAAGUAUCAUGCUAUUAUAGGUUAUAAAUGAAUGUUGGAUGCUAUUACAAGCUAUAAAUGAAAGUAGGAUAAUACUAUGGGUUAAAUUUGAAAGUAAGAUGUAUGUAUGGGUGUACAUAUAGGUAGAGGUGGGUUUAGGUAGGGGUUGGUGGAUAUAAGGAUUUAAGAUAAGGUAAGAUGCAUGUUUGGGUUUGUAGGUGGGGAUAUGUGGUUAUUAUGGUUGGGUAGGGUGGGUGUAUGGGGUAGGGAUGACACUUAUUAUUUAUGGUUUAGGGCUCAUAUUUUAUGACAUAGGGUUUAAGGAUUAUGACUUAGGGCUUAUGGUUUAUGAGUUAUUUUUGAAGUCUUAAGGCUUAUAGCUUAAGGGUCAUGACGUAAGUCGUAUGGGUUAGGGUUCAAGGCGUAAGGCAUAAGGCCUAUGGAUUGGGGAUUAUGGCUUAGGGUUUAGGGAUUAGGUUUAGGUUUUACAAACAUACAUGUGGUUUUAGAAUAUGAAUUUGAACAUUUUUGGAAAAAGGUUUUAGAGGGAAACACAAGAUGACAACGUGGCAAGGGAGGAUAGACUAGGGGCGGAAACUAAUUAAUUUGGUGAAAAUUAUGGACUAUGACUUAGGGCUUAGAGCUUAGGGCUCAUUCCUUCACUUGUAUCUUGAGGUUGACGACUUAUGUCUUAGUGCUUAAAGUUGUGGGGAUGUGGCUUAUAAAUAAUGGCUUAAGUCUUAAGUCUUAUGGUCCAGGCCUUAUGGCGUAAGGCAUAUGGCUUAGGUCUUACAACCUAUGUAUUAUGGCUUAUUGAUUAUUUUUAUGGCUUAUGGUUGAUGGUUUAAGGCUUAUGGUUUAGGGUUUAGGGUUUUAUGGAUUAAUGCCUAUAGCCUAUGAGUUAUUACUUAUUACUUAUGGUGUAUAACAUAUGACUUAGGGCUCACGUCUUAGUGUAAGAUGUUAAAGCUUAAAGCUAAUAACGUAUGACCUAUAGCUUAGGUAUUAAGUCUUAUGGCUUAUAACUUAUGGAUUGUGUUGUAGGGAUUAACAAUUAAUGUAUAUGGAUUAAGGUUUAAGGUGUAUGGAUUACAGAUUAUGACAUAUAACUUUUGGAUUAUGAUAUACGGCUUAUGCUUAGGAAUUAGGGCUUGGACAAAGUGAUAGGGCUUAAGGCUUGGAAUUAUAGCUUGUGAUUUAUGGCUUAGGGAAAAUAGAAUCUGAAGAAAAAAAAAGUUCCACUUAUUAGAUUUAAUUUAAUUUUUAUUAACUUUAUUAUUUUAUUUUAUAAUUUGGAUUUUAUUAAAUAGUUUAAAUUAUAAGAUUGUAUCAUAAAUCAAAAGCCCUAUGUCGAAGUCCUAAAUUGUAAACCCUAAUAUAUAACACAUAAGUCACAAGCAUUGAUUUAAAAUCCGGUUCAAACCAGCCGGUGAACCGAUUGAACCGGAAACCGAAGACGAGAGCGGUUCAACAACAACCAUUUUAUUUUAAGUUCUAGAGCAAAUUGAACUGGAAGGUUUCUUCAAAACCAGGUUGAACUGUUGUGAUAUAACCGUAAUCCCAUAAGUGGUAUGGUGGUGGUGUUGACAGGGAAGGUGGUGGUAAUGGUGGUGAUAGUGGUGGUGGUGGCAACACUGGGAUAAGAGGUCACGGUUGUGGUAAUGCAAAUGAUGGUGAUGGUGGUGAUAUAUUAGUUGUGAUGAUGGUGGUGGCGGUGGCAUAGGUGGUGGUGGUAGUGGUGGACAAGGUAGUAGUAAGAUGUCAUUAUGUUUAAAAACGAAGGUAGGAUGCUAUUAUAGGUUAAAGCUUAAAGUAGAAUGCUAUUAUGGGUUAAAAUAAACGUAGGACACUAUUAUGGGUUAAAGUUGAAAGUAAGAUUCCAUUAUGGGCUAAAAACGAAAGUAUCAUGCUAUUAUAGGUUAUAAAUGAAAGUUGGAUACUAUUAUAAGUUAUAAAUGAAAGUAGGACAAUAUUAUGGGUUAAAGUUGAAAGUAAG
Molecule: long non-coding RNA, 2193 nt
Filed under: Lactuca sativa (garden lettuce)
Lineage: Eukaryota; Viridiplantae; Streptophyta; Magnoliopsida; Asterales; Asteraceae
Description: long non-coding RNA (LSAT_LNC004377)
Source: RNAcentral